This 324-nucleotide ribosomal RNA is filed under the name Babesia canis. Its description in RNAcentral is "SSU rRNA". It matches the Rfam family "Eukaryotic small subunit ribosomal RNA", at positions 521 to 904 of the family's 1831-position model. Lineage: Eukaryota; Apicomplexa; Aconoidasida; Piroplasmida; Babesiidae. The record is from RNAcentral.
GGUGACCCAAACCCUCACCAGAGUAGCAAUUGGAGGGCAAGUCUGGUGCCAGCAGCCGCGGUAAUUCCAGCUCCAAUAGCGUAUAUUAAACUUGUUGCAGUUAAARAGCUCGUAGUUGUAUUUUUGCGUUGACGGUUUGACCAUUUGGUUGGUUAUUUCGUUUUCGCUUUUGGGAAUUUCCCUUUUUACUUUGAGAAAAUUAGAGUGUUUCAAGCAGACUUUUGUCUUGAAUACUUCAGCAUGGAAUAAUAGAGUAGGACUUUGGUUCUAUUUUGUUGGUUAUUGAACCUUAGUAAUGGUUAAUAGGAACGGUUGGGGGCAUUC